UUUUAUUAUAUGAAAUUGUGGGGAUUGAAAAUAUUGCUCAAAUUCUCGGAUAUAUUAAAGCAGAGACCAUAAUAUCCCUGGCAUGUGUAACAGAUGAUAAUUGAAGCAGUAUGAAGAAAAUGUAUAUCACACACCUGGGAGUGUCACAGUGACAUCAUUUAGAUCUAUAGUAAUAAAGGAACUCCAGCUGUGGGGAACGGAGUCUUUAUUACACAUCACACGUUCUGUAUUCUCUCUGAUUCACAAAGGAUGGACAAGGACAGGAGUCACAGGACUGAAAAGAUAAUAAAUAUCACCCUGGAGAUCAUCUACCUACUGACUGGGGAGGAUUACACAAUAGUGAAGAAGACAUCCAAUGGGUGUGAGACACCCAGCAGCCAUCCCCGUGUAUCAGGAGGACUGAGUAGAACCCAGAGCCCAAUCACGGUGCCUCCACCUCACUCACUGACACAUGAGAGACACAAUGACAAGAAGAUCCUGGAACUCACCAACAAGAUCAUUCAACUGCUGACUGGAG
This is a long non-coding RNA of Pseudophryne corroboree (corroboree frog), 517 nucleotides long. RefSeq lists it as uncharacterized. The transcript is spliced from 3 exons. Lineage: Eukaryota; Metazoa; Chordata; Amphibia; Anura; Myobatrachidae. The record is from RefSeq and is a predicted model, not a curated record.